UACGUAGGAUCCAAGCGUUGUCCGGAUUUACUGGGUAUAAAGGGUGCGUAGGCGGCUUUUUGCGUCAGAGGUGAAAUCCACGGGCUUAACCCGUGGGGUGCCUUUGAAACGGGAAGGCUUGAGUAUGACAGAGGCGGAUGGAAUUCCUGGUGUAGCAGUGAAAUGCGUAGAUAUCAGGAGGAACACCGGUGGCGAAGGCGGUCCGCUGGGUCAUAACUGACGCUGAGGCACGAAAGCGUGGGGAUCAAACAGGAUUAGAUACCCUGGUAGUCCACGCCUUAAACGAUGUAUGCUUGGUGUUGGAACAGCAAUGUUUCAGUGCCGGAGGGAAUCUAUUAAGCAUACCACCUGGGGAGUACGAUCGCAAGGUUGAA
This 374-nucleotide ribosomal RNA is filed under the name uncultured bacterium. Its description in RNAcentral is "bacterial SSU rRNA". It matches the Rfam family "Bacterial small subunit ribosomal RNA", at positions 524 to 898 of the family's 1533-position model. The record is from RNAcentral.